UCGCUGCUCCCACGUUGAGGUAGUUGGUUGUAUAGUAUUAAAAAUUCAAUAUCUACUAUGCAAUCCGCUAGCUUAACUUGUGAGGGCGCCU
RNAcentral lists this microRNA precursor (91 nucleotides) under Culex quinquefasciatus (southern house mosquito). Its description in RNAcentral is "let-7 stem-loop (cqu-let-7)". Its record names the gene cqu-let-7. The record is from miRBase by way of RNAcentral. Lineage: Eukaryota; Metazoa; Arthropoda; Insecta; Diptera; Culicidae.